RNAcentral lists this ribosomal RNA (433 nucleotides) under uncultured bacterium. RNAcentral describes it as "partial 16S ribosomal RNA". It matches the Rfam family "Bacterial small subunit ribosomal RNA", at positions 29 to 507 of the family's 1533-position model. The record is from RNAcentral.
AACGAACGCUGGCGGCAUGCCUAACACAUGCAAGUCGAACGAGACCUUCGGGUCUAGUGGCGCACGGGUGCGUAACGCGUGGGAACCUGCCCUUAGGUUCGGAAUAACUCCCCGAAAGGGGUGCUAAUACCGGAUAAUGUCUUCGGACCAAAGAUUUAUCGCCUUUGGAUGGGCCCGCGUUGGAUUAGCUAGUUGGUAGGGUAAAAGCCUACCAAGGCGACGAUCCAUAGCUGGUCUGAGAGGAUGAUCAGCCACACUGGGACUGAGACACGGCCCAGACGCAUACGGGAGGCAGCAGUGGGGAAUAUUGGAAGAUGGGCGAAAGCCUGAUCCAGCAAUGCCGCGUGAGUGAUGAAGGCCUUAGGGUGGGAAAGCUCUUUUACCCGGGAUGAUAAUGACAGUACAGGGAGAAUAAGCACCGGCUAACUCCGUG